Molecule: long non-coding RNA, 3321 nt
Organism: Panthera uncia (snow leopard)
Lineage: Eukaryota; Metazoa; Chordata; Mammalia; Carnivora; Felidae
Exons: 6
Source: RefSeq, a predicted model, not a curated record
CCUCCACAUUCCUGAGGGCAGACUCAGUGUGUGGACAUUACAGGGAGAGAGAUUUCAGCUUCAAACCCAAAAGAAAUGUUUAAUAAUUCUGAGCGGGCGUUGGCUGAAUCAGGACACAAUGCAUUCUCUGGAACUGGUGUCUCCACGCAGAAGCCAGGAUAUUACUCAGGACUCCCGAAUGGGGCUGAGCACGUGAGCCGCUAAAACUGCGUGUGGGGGAGCUAGCUCCCCAUCUCAUCCCGUCACAUCGUGGAGGAAGGGGCGUCUGCAACAAGGGCCCUAAGGCUGGGGAAGGAGGAGAUGCCUUUUGCUUCUGGAGGACGGGUGCCAUGCUCAAAGCAGCCCAACCAUGACUCACACAUCCAAAUGAGGCUGCUGCCUUAUAAGGAGGCACUUUGAAGGCUAUUAUUCCAAGGAGCCUGCCACCUCCCGAAGCAUUUUUAGAACUCCUGCUUUGAAUCACUACCAGUGUCAAGAUGGUGAAUCCUCACACCUCCUAGGAGCAGUUAUUUUUGGAAACAAUGAAAGUCAGGUUGGCCAAGUUUGAUCUCACGGCACCACCUGUGUAUCAAGAAAGGGAGAGAUACAUUACCUUGAGCAAACUUACAGAGGGCCAAAGCUAGCCUCCCUCCAUCUCAGCCUUGGUAGGCAUUUUAAGGUAUGUAUAUUAAUCUCCUAGGGGCCCUGGAACACAUGGAGGGGGACGGGGUCAGUGAACAAGAUAGAGGGUAAAGAUGGGCUCAGUAGUGUUUGCUUUCCUAUAGUGUUAAAUCAGACACAACCAGUGUGAAAUCCUAGCUCCUUCGCUUAAAAGGAUGUGUGAUCUUAAGCAAGUUAUGUAUCUCCUUUGAGGCUGAGUUUUCUCAUCUUUAAGAUGUAGAGUAUGAUAUCUCUAAGAACUCCUGCAAAAAUGAAAUAAGAGGUCAUGUAUAAAACACAGGAAACAUAUUUUAGGUGGUAUUAUGAUAGUUAUUAUAAUUUUUGUUAAUAAUAUUUUUAUUUAUGAUCAUUUGGAUAAGAGAGAAGUGAUGGCUUCUGUUUUCCCCUUUUAGAUUCAACAGAGAAAUUCUUGACCUUGGUUCUUAAGAAACCUGUUUAGGCAAAAAAGGAAAGUAUCCUUGGGAACAGAGGUGGUGCUGUGCAGAGGCGAGCCUUCAGGGUUUCAAGUGCUUGGACCUCGCCCAGCUCUGGCUGGCCUCCUCCUCAGGCUGUGAUGAAGGAGUCAGAAUACCUGCAACGGCCACACAACCACGAUGACUGCAGACUCCCCAGCAACCACAAUUGCAGCCACCACACUGUGGGGCCAUAUGACCAACAUCAGCAAUCGCUACGGUAAACUGCAGCAAGCACACAAGCACACAACAGCAGUCGCAACCACCCCAUCUGCACGACCACACAACACCCACACAAGCACCGCGACCUGCAGCAACCACUGCGUCAGUGGCCAUUUAUCAACUCUGUCUCAUGUUCCGACUUGAGACCCGGAAAGGGAGGUCUGCCAUGCCUCCUGAGACAGAUCAGCAGAGGCCUGGGAGGCUUCUCGGACCUUUGGGUGGGAAUGAGCCGGUGGGAACUUGGAUCAGGUGAGUUGGGUUUAUGACGUGGACUCCUCUGUCUCUGAGGGGAGGUGUGGUCCCUUGAGGACUUCCAAGUCAACUUGGCUCUAAGCCCUAGAGGAGGGGGCAUCUUUCUCACUCCCUUUCCUGAAAGACGGGGGCACCUGUCUUAUUUUCCUUCCUGGGGACCCCCUGUGAUGCUCAGUGCUGAACUCUGAGCAUAAAUGGUACUUUCUGAUUGGAGGGGAUGGGACCGAGUAGCCAGCUUUCCUCUCAUUACGGCGUCCUAUUUCCCGUGCAUCACCGGAAGGAGUGGGCCUCUGGUCCUUUGAAAACCAGUCUCCACGAGGGGGAUGGAGGCAGCAAGUUCUUGACCAGAACCUGCCAUGUACCAUCAGCACAAUCCCGUAGAAAGCCUCUUUUUUUUUUAAAGUUUAUUUUUGAGAGAGAGAGAGAGAGAGAGAGACAGAAAGAGAGAGAGAGACAGAGACAGAGCAUGAGCUGGGAAGCAGCCAGAGAGAGAGGGAGACACAGAAUCUGAAGUAGGCUCCAGGAUCCGAGCUGUCAGCACAGAGUCCGAUGAGGGGCUCGAACUCAUGAGAGGUGAGAUCAUGACCUGAGCCAAAGCCAGAUGCUUAACUGACUGAGCUACCCAGGCUCCCGAGAGUCUCUGUUCUAUACAGCCCAGCACUGGUGCUGGCUGUCCAGCUCAGUGAAAGGCAUGGUCGAGAUAGGACUGUACACAGAGAAACUAUUCAGACUCUCAAGGCAGCUGGUGCCCUGAUGGAGGGAGUGCCACCGACAGCCACGGCCACAGUGCCUGGGGAGGGGUACGCUGAUGCUUGGGGCUCUGAGGAAGGCUUCCCAGAGAAGGUAGAGCUUGAUCCUGCUGUAAAGGAAGGAUUUCACUCACCCAAUAGAGAGAAAGAGAAGGCAUUCCAGGAAGGGGAACAACAUGAGCAAAAGCCCAGAGGCUUUAUGAAAUUUGGUGGAGUCACUGAGUGGUGGGAGGUAGGAGGGCAGGAAGGAGGACGUAGGAAGGUGGAGGAGGUCAGAGGCUGGAGGGGGAGCAUCUUGGGAUGCGCAGUCCUGUGGGCAAUGGAGACACUGAAGGUUUUUCUGAGAGAUGGGCAGCAACAUAUACCAGGCAGCAUCCCAGGAUGACUUUUUAGCAGUCCUGUGUGGGCGGCUAGCGUGUUGUGCUUAAGGGUGUUGUGGGAGAAACAGGUUAGGUGCAGUGAGAGGCUGGGACUUGGACUCAGUAUCCCCAGUGGGAGUGGAAGGUAGGGCAGGAGCGGGCAGGAAGGACACGAGAGAAUAGACAGGGUCUCACGGCAGCCUGGGUGAGUCAAGGCAGGGUGAGUCAAGGAUGAUGGCUCCAAGGGAUGGUGUUUGGGCUACUGAAUGGGGGUACUCAGUUCGUGGGGAGAGACGCUGUGCUUGUGCAGUACUGGAGGUAGGGCUGUGACCGUGGGGGGAAGUCCAGGAGGCGGCUGGCUAUGCAGCCCAGAAGAAAGGGGUGAUGUGGGGUGCAGUUAGGCGGCGACAGCUGGAAGAGAAGGGACCAGGGGUGAAAGAGUGCCAGAGAGAGAAAAGCAGAGGGGCGGGUAGAGAACCGGGACCCAGCUGCAGGCACAGGAGAGAGUGUGAGAGUCUGAGGCCAAGGGGAGGUGAGGGGGAACCAUGGCCAGAAGCCUCAGUCUGGAGAGUGAGGCUCCAGCUGCCUGGGUGCCACAGAGGCUCCCUCUCGCUUCAGUGUCUUCCC